CAGCAAUUGGAACAUAAGCAUGUGGAAAAAAAAUACAAUGAAAGUGAGACACAUAAUAAGAUCUAUAUACAAUCCAUAUGAAAACACUUCAAAUGCUCUCCAAAUAUCCUAGAAAUUGUAGGCAUCAGAUUAGAUUUGGUUUUCUAAUAUGUAAUUCAUAGUAGCUUUGAAUAAUUUUGAUUCUUUUUCCGAACUCUUUCUUCAUGAAGAGAGAUUCUUUUUCGAUUUUCUGUUAGGUUCUUCGUUUUCAGUAUGCAGUGAUUUUAUUAGGGUUUGCAAUUGUGCUCCUGAUUUUUCACUGGGGUUUGCGUGUUUUAAAUCUGAGUUUUGUAAUUUUCCAUUGAUUUUAAUACUUAAUUUUCUAUAAUGUACACUGAACUAUUGAGCUAUUAAUACUCAUACACACUUAAUUUAGGGUAGGGUUUAGGGAGGGGAAUGAUUUGUGGGAGUGAUUGCUGAUUGGAAUAUGGGUCAAAUUGAAAAGCUAGAUUUGUGGUCAUGGAGCUGUCUUUUCGCUUUCAUGAUGGCAAUGUGAGGUGAUCCAAUAGCUUCAACAGAUUACCACAUGCUCCAAAUAUGGAGAUUUACUCUAUGUAUGGGGUCGGGAUUCUAACGUAAAGAGCCUAUGUUUAUAAGUCAACCUCCCAAUCAGAAUGCUACAUUCCGUUUCAGAUUGACACAUCAGCAAUUGGUGGAGAUGAGGACCCUUUUUUAAAGGAUGGAGUUUAUAGUGCCAACGGGGAUGAAACUGUUCCUGUUUUAAGCGCUGAUUUCAUUUUUGCAAGAGGUUGGCGGGGAAAAACCCGCUUUAAUCCUUCAGGCAUCCAAACGUUCAUAAGGGAGUAUGAAGACGCUGCUCCGGCUAAUCUUCUCGAAGGAAGGAGAACCUAGAGUGGUGCUCAUGUUGAUAUAUUGGAAAACUUUGCACUUAUUGAAGAUAUUAUACGAGUAGCAGCAGGAGCCACUGGUGAGGACUUAGGUGGACAUAGAGUUCACUCAGAUUUUCAAAGGGUCUCAAAAUAUUAACUCUCAGUGCAAUAAAUGUUUCGGCUAGCAGCUGUUCCUUUGUUAAAUUAUUUUUUACUUUUUGGAUUAUAAAUACUCAUUGUUACCUUAGUUUAACAUGAGUAUUACCCAUGAGGUUAUAAAGAA
Molecule: non-coding RNA, 1152 nt
Organism: Arachis ipaensis
Lineage: Eukaryota; Viridiplantae; Streptophyta; Magnoliopsida; Fabales; Fabaceae
Source: RefSeq, a predicted model, not a curated record